UACAGAGGGUGCGAGCGUUAAUCGGAAUUACUGGGCGUAAAGCGCGCGUAGGCGGCUUUGCAAGUCGGGUGUGAAAUCCCCAGGCUUAACCUGGGAACUGCACUCGAGACUGCAUUGCUAGAGUAUGGGAGAGGGAAGUGGAAUUUCCGGUGUAGCGGUGAAAUGCGUAGAUAUCGGAAGGAACAUCAGUGGCGAAAGCGACUUCCUGGACCAAUACUGACACUCAGGUGCGAAAGCGUGGGUAGCAAACAGG
This 253-nucleotide ribosomal RNA is filed under the name uncultured bacterium. RNAcentral describes it as "partial 16S ribosomal RNA". It matches the Rfam family "Bacterial small subunit ribosomal RNA", at positions 524 to 776 of the family's 1533-position model. The record is from RNAcentral.